Misgurnus anguillicaudatus (oriental weatherfish) is the source of this 2547-nucleotide long non-coding RNA. RefSeq lists it as uncharacterized. The record is from RefSeq and is a predicted model, not a curated record. NCBI's taxonomy places the organism in Eukaryota, Metazoa, Chordata, Actinopteri, Cypriniformes, Cobitidae.
AUCACUGUGCUUUUGAUGUUUUUAAAUGUAGCCUAGAUGUAAAUAUUGUAAGACUUUUAGAUGAUCUGCUGAAGAUGUUUACCCAUCUAGUUGUUUACAGACAGUUGUGCGCAUGUUUUAUUGUAGUGUCGGAUCGGAAGUAGCCUAGUUCGUGAAUGUUAAUGAAGGAGUUGGGCUUAUUUACGUUCAUCGGGAGCCGCCCUUCAUUCACCACAUGGUUAAAAGCAGAGCGCGUUCGCGCCACUUUCGCAAUUUUACUACGCGUUUGUACCACUGCCCGGGACGGCGUGCGCGAGUGCUGGUGAUUUAUUUUUAAAGAUUAUCGACACAAGUUUGCGGUUUACUUUCGACGGAGCUCUGGCAGUAAACGAGCAUCCACCCGAUGUCCCUUCUGGAUCUGUCCCAUUUCACCCCAAUCAACACCUUGAGAUGUCACUGUAGGGUCAAAGUGCAUACAGUGCAGGUAGUUCAGUGAAAUCUACUGCAGUGGAGGCACUUCAAGCUCUACUUUGACCCGAAUGCGUCCGGCCACCGAUGUAAACUACUGCUUAUGCUAAGGUGCAUUUAGUGCAGAUAGUGACAUAGACUAGCACCUACUGCCCUAAGUGCCCCUUCUGGCAUAAGGGGCUGGCAUACCCUGCUGUUACUGGCUGCACUCUUCAAUUCUUUUCAUUCCAUGCAGUUCUCUGCUAGUUUUGCAUAGUUGCACUACAAGAAAUAUUGAGUUGUGCAAAUCUAUGCAAAACUGAUGGUGGCCUGCUUGCCCAUCUUUUCUGUGCUUCUCGCUUUGACCGUUUCUGCUUUACCCGCAUCUUAGGUGCCCGUCUGGUCGCUCCAGCCACCUCCGUGCUUCUGCAGUAUUACUCCAGCAGUAUUAAAGUGCUCAUAGUGCAGGUAGUAAUUUAAAAUACUUCUCUACUGCAAUGUGAGCACUUCAAGUACUUCUAGAUGUGAGCGCUGAGGACCUUCGGAGAUGUUUGUGCACGCUGCUCUGAUUAGUUUUGCUGGUUUGCAGUCAGCGUUUGUACGGUUGCUGUGCAAAUCCAUGCAAAACUGAUCAUGUCGGUGACGAAUCUCAGUUUGCCGUCUGGUUUCCAGCAUCCCUUUCUUCGCAGGUUGGGAUUGGCCGCAAUGCUCUGAACUACAAGUAUUGCACUUGUCCCGGCCUGUGAAGACUAUGGGAAAUGAAUCUGCUGCAUUUGUGUGGAUGAAAUUAACGUGUAACUUAGAAAAAAUCUGUUUUACAUCAAUAAAAGUUUAAGUUGGACAUUGUGAUGUCACUGUGAAUAAUUCCAGCUCCUUCAAUCUAUAUAACUGUAGUUGGUAUUUUUCUCAUCCAAAAAUGUGUGGAUGCAAAGUGGGCAUGAAAGCCCGGACUAGUAAAGUGUAAAAUUCAAAGCUGUAAUUUUACUGAAGCAUUGACUGUUGUGUAGCUCUUAUUUUGUAGUAAUAGCCUCAAAUACAAUUCAUGAGGUGCAUCCUUGGAUGAUUUUAUAUUACGUGAAGUCAUAGUUUUAAGUUUUAAACUUAAAACUACUUUAUUUAUCAAACUAGUUUCAGGUAUUAACCCCUUCAGGCCCUGCUUCCAUUGGAAUGGUUCAAACACAAAACAUGCGAUGUCCGAUCAAAAUAAAACUGUAAGAAAUACUUUGCUGCCUUAAAGUUUUUUGUUGAAUCAACUCAUAUUUACAAGUCAUUUCAACUUACUAUUUAUCUUGACUAGAGAUGAGUUGUUAUAACUACAGGUGAGUUGUUUUAAGUUGACUUUUCUCAACUAUAAGUUGUGACAACUCAUCUCUGUUGGCAUGACUUGUAAAUCUGAGUUGAUUUAACAAAAAAUUUUAAGGCAGUAUUUUUACAGUGGAGGCACGUUGAUUAAACACCUGAAAAGUCAGGUCUGAAGGGGUUAAAUUAAAUCUUGUUUAUUUUACUUGUUUAUUUACUUUUGUAAACAUUGAUGAUUGGGAAUCAUUAUAUAGGACCCUCUUUUUUUUUAAGUCAAACCUGCAAAAAGUUUGACCACAAGAUGGAGCUGUUGCAUUGAGAACCAUUGUUGGCAACUGAAACUCAUUGUUUAAGGGCAAAUGUUUGUAAUAACGUUGAAAUUAAAUGCGAAUAAUACAAUUAAUUUGAAAAUGUGAAUUUUAAAGGGGAUUGUAGGAUAUGUAAUUUUACUCACUUUAAAUGUGAACCAUGUUUUGUAUAAAAACCACACCGUAAAAAAAAGGCUUUUUGUUUAAUCAACUCUGAUUUCAAAGUAAUUUUAACUUCCUAUUAUUUAUCUUGAUGACAGAUGAGUUGUUAUAACUUAUAAAAUUAAGUUUACAUUUUUACUAUAUUUUCUAAGUAUCAACUCAUGUCUUAUCAAAAUGCAUACAUAGUAAGUUAAAAUGACUUUAAAUCAGUUGAUUUAGCAAAAAAAUGUAGGGCAGGAAUUUAUCAAUUUUUACAGUUUAUGCUCUAAUGUUUGUUUCCCCAAUUUAAGUGUUUGUUUUGUGAUUUUUAAUAUUAAAAAGUGAAAUUAAAACUUAAGUUCUGUCUAUUUUC